GCUCGAGUGGCGGAAUUGGUAGACGCGCUAGCUUCAGGAGCUAGUGUCCCUCGGGACGUGCUGGUUCAACUCCAGUCUCGAGCACCA
This 87-nucleotide transfer RNA is filed under the name Candidatus Nomurabacteria bacterium. RNAcentral's name for it is "tRNA-Leu". It matches the Rfam family "tRNA". Rfam says of the family: Transfer RNA (tRNA) molecules are approximately 80 nucleotides in length. Their secondary structure includes four short double-helical elements and three loops (D, anti-codon, and T loops). Lineage: Bacteria; Candidatus Nomuraibacteriota. The record is from RNAcentral.